GACGAACGCUGGCGGCGUGCUUAACACAUGCAAGUCGAACGGAAAGGCCCUGCUUUUGUGGGGUGCUCGAGUGGCGAACGGGUGAGUAACACGUGAGUAACCUGCCCUUGACUUUGGGAUAACUUCAGGAAACUGGGGCUAAUACCGUAUAGGAGCUCCUGCUGCAUGGUGGGGGUUGGAACGUUUCGGCGGUUGGGGAUGGACUCGCGGCUUAUCAGCUUGUUGGUGGGGUAGUGGCUUACCAAGGCUUUGACGGGUAGCCGGCCUGAGAGGGUGACCGGCCACAUUGGGACUGCGAUACGGCCCAGACUCCUACGGGAGGCAGCAGUGGGGAAUAUUGCACAAUGGGAGGAAGCCUGAUGCAGCAACGCCGCGUGCGGGAUGACGGCCUUCGGGUUGUAAACCGCUUUCGCCUGUGACGAAGCGUGAGUGACGGUAAUGGGUAAAGAAGCACCGGCUAACUACGUG
This 468-nucleotide ribosomal RNA is filed under the name uncultured bacterium. RNAcentral describes it as "partial 16S ribosomal RNA". It matches the Rfam family "Bacterial small subunit ribosomal RNA", at positions 28 to 507 of the family's 1533-position model. The record is from RNAcentral.